This 5628-nucleotide long non-coding RNA is filed under the name Lynx pardinus (Iberian lynx). The record is from RNAcentral. Lineage: Eukaryota; Metazoa; Chordata; Mammalia; Carnivora; Felidae.
GGCGGGGGUGGCGCGCUGAGCCCGGCGCAGAAAGAUACGCCCAGGGUUUCAGAGUCGGUACGAAGCAAAGAGGGAAAAUAAAGUAAUCUCACGUUGAUUCCAUAGUGAAAUAAUAUUUGGGGUAUAUUGGAUCCAGUAAAAUAUAUUGCUGAAAUUAUUUUCUCGUUUUCUUUUACCUUUUUUUUGUUGUUGUUUUAACGUAGCCACCGGAAAGUGAAAUUGCUUGUGCUGCUAGCACUACCUUCCCUUGGCCGUAGACCAAGGAGUCUGGCAUUGCAGACUGGCACUGCGCCUGGGGAGCCCCUUAACAGGCCUCCGCCAGUUCUCUUGUGAAACACAAAUCUGAUUAUGCUCUCUGAUUAAAGUUUGCCUCGCUUGCCGAUAAUCAACAUUGCUUCUGCGCUUGCCAAGCGCAAGAUGCUGCACAAGGUGCUCUGUGUGCGUGCUCUCAGCCAUGCGCCAACCACCCCCGGGAAAGGCUGCCUCCUUCUGGAAGAGCAGAAUGGUUCCCUCCCUCUCGCCACACUGAGGCUUAGACGUGUCUUGGCGAUUGCCGGGCUGUUCGCAGCUGCUAGUCCCGGCCUGCAACAUUUAUCUGUUUCCACAGGUGGCUUGUGAGAUCCUGCGGGGUGGGGCCUGUGUCUUCUGCCUCUAGAAAUGUUUGUUGGGGGCGCCUGGGUGUCUCAGUUCUUUAAGCGUCCGGCUCUGGACUUCAGCUCAGGUCGUGAUCUCAUGGUUCAUGAGUUCAAGCCCCACAUGGGGCUCUGUGCUGACACCUUAGAGCCUGGAGCCUGCUUCGGAUCUGUGUCUCCCUCUAUCUCUGCCCCUCCCCUGCUCACCCUCUGUCUCUCUCAAUCAAAAAUAAAUAAGCGUUUAAAAAUUUUUAAUAAAAAAGAAAUGUUUGUUGGGUGAAUGACAACUGCGGGAACUCUCCAGGGAUCCCCUUUAGUCUCCACAGAAACUCUCCAGGAAUCUUCUCCCUGGGGCGAUCUCAAUGGAUCUUUGGUGAUCCCCUGAUGAUACAGCCUCAGUGGAUUCUCAGGACCCCUGUGCUGCAUAGCCUGAUGAACCCUCCUGAGAUCCUGUCCUUACACGACCUCGGAGAAUCUCCAGAGAUCUAAUAAAGUUUCAGUGGAUCCUCAGGGGCUCCUUCCUGACACGGCCUCAGGCAGUCUCAUGGGAUUCUCUCCUGGUGGAGCUCAGGAAGGCCCCAGGGAUUUCUCCCUGCUGUACAGCCCGGAGGCCUCAGAAAUGCCCCUAGGAGACUGGCUCCUAACAGUAUCAGGGGUCCCCUACAGACAUCACUGGAGACCUUAGGGGUUUUCAGCGGCUUUUCUGGCUUGUUGCAAGAGUCUGCAAGGUGACAGGGCAAAGAUGAUGGAAGUAGAAUUUACGUAGGAAAAAUGGGCAGUAGUUAGCAACUGGUUGGAUGCAAUUAUGACAUCUUAGAUCGGUUAUCCCUGUAGCUUGAGGAUGCUUUCCUGCCUCACAUCUCUUAGGAGAAGGAGCCAGACCAAUACCAAGGUUGAUGAAGGCUUCAAGACCCACUGAGCAAAAGCGCUAGCAGUGCCACGACAGGAACAGGAGAGCAAGAGGUCAGCCUGUUUGCAGCCUAGGUUUAUGACUGCUUGAGGAUGAACUGGGUUGAUGUCACAGAGGUAAGGCCUCAGCCUCAGCCAAGCAGUAGGUUAGAGGACAGAUCAGUCUCCAGACAAGGGGAUGGGAGGACCUGCCAGGGCAAAGUCACAAGAAUAGGUCAGCAUCAUGAGCAACGAGACAAGCUCCAGAAAUGGAUUUUUGGGCCAGAGGGCAUGUGAAAGGAGCGUCUGGUAGAAGGCCAGGUGUGUAAGCCAAAGUCUAGCCUAUGGAGGGUGUAGGAAUGGGGUCUCUGCAGGCAUCAAAGAGGACAGAUGCGUGAACACAGAAUGAAUGAGUGGAGCUUUUCGUACUCAUUUGUGCAACAAAUAAUUGCUGAGCAGCGAACACAAGAAGCUUACUUUCACUAAGAUUUAGGCUGAAAGAAAUUAAAACCAAGGACGUGACAUUUCACCCCGGACAGAUGGGCAAAAACUUAAAACCUGUCAGUGCCCAAAUUGGUGAGGACGUGGAUUUGUGAGCAGUGCGGAAUGAACUCUGAUUCGCUGCUGGUGGGAGUGGAAAUUGAUUCACUAACUCUCGACAGCUAUCCAGCAAUUUCUAGCGGCUAAGGACGCAUAUACCCUACAACCCAGCAAUUCCAAUCUUGGUGUGCACCCCAGAGCAGCUCGCCUAUGUGUGCAAAGACAGGAACGUUCAUUGUAACUGCUGGGGGGAGGGGGGAAUCAUAAAGUAAUCUAUAGGAGAAUUGAUAAAUGAUACAUAGUUACCCAAUAGGAUGCUAUAUGGUAAGAAAAUAACUAUAAACACAUCAACAUAAACGAAUUUCACAACAUUGAGUGAAAAAACGUUGAACGUGAAUGCAUGUGGUAUUUAACUCCAUCUUUUUAAACUAAAAGAAUGCUAAACACCAAAUUCAGGAGAGUGGUUUCCUCUGGGUAUUGGUGGGGACUUUAAUCAGUAAGGCAUUCAGGGGGCUUCAAUGCUAUUAUCACGCUUUAUUUCUUCUGGCAGAUGGAGUGUAUUCAGCUGUUAUAUUAUUUAUGACUCUCCGGAUGUCGACGAAAUGAUUGACAACACGUGAUGAUUACGGAGCCUCCACUGCUGUGUCCGUGAGCAGACUCUUGGAAAAGCCUGCAUUCGUGCAACAAUGAAUGAGCGGUGAGUGUUCACAGGGAGGCCUGGCGGGGUCAGGACAAUCGAUCAGAUCUGUGACUUCUGUUUAAGGUGAAGGGACAAAAUGCAAGGAGUGGUUCCAGGUCGAGGGAGCGUCACUGAUGCAGCAGGGACACAAGACAAGACCAGAGUGCUGGGUAACAGGCGAGGCUUCGGCGAGGCUCUAGGAGACACAGGUUGGGCUCCCUGAGAGACAGGCCCUUGCGUGCAGGCUGCUGCUUGGGGAGGAGAGGCUGACUGGCGAGGGGCCACCUGGCCCUACAGGGACGUCCUGAACUGAGACCAGAGGGUGGAGCCUUUGCACCGUGCACAAGCCAGUCUGCACGGGGCUGCGUCCAGGGAGGGGGUGGCCCGCAGCUGAGGGCAGCUCCCCGGGAGGGACUUCUCUGAGCCAUCGGCAGCCUAUACUCCCAGCCACGGAGGGAAUGAGAGCCCUCGUUCUGAGGGGCGAAUCUGGGCAGCACGCCGUAAUGCCGACCACGGUCCACCUUGGCGCCCCUCAGACCCGCCAGCCACAGGGGUCACCGUCGGAAGAGCGUCUCCAGGAUUCUGGCUGCUCCCUUUUGUGGAAAUUUACAAGAGGAAGGUUGAUGCAAUCUUGGGGCCACAGCAGCUGCUCACCCUGUGCCUCCACUUCCUGCCCCUCUGCCCUCAGCACUGUGGGUUCCCUCCACCGAGUAGCAUCUCUCCUGUUCUAGAUGAGCUACCUGGUGGACCGGCCCGGACUCUCAUCCUAGAGGCUUUAGAACCUCGGUCAACACACCCUUCUCAGGUCACGGCUGCUGUGCUUGUCCACACACCAUCAAAACUGGGCAGAGAGGCAGGCUCAGGUAGGUGCCAGAUGUGUUCUCCCCCCGCCCCGCCCCCGCCCCCACCCCCGGGCAGCAGCAUCCCUACCUCCUCCAGUGGCCACGAGGAGACCCCUUCCUUGACCUGCUAGUCUCCUGGCACAAGGAGCCUGACCCAGCAUUGAAUCAGACUCUUACCACAUCGCUUUCUGGAAGCAUUCGCCCUCUAGAAGAGGUCGGGAUUGUGAGAACCGGACAAUGUCUCCCCCGGAGACAGCAUUGGUGGGCAGACCCACUCCUGCCUCCACCCGCUGCUUCCCGCACCCAAGUCUAUACUUAGAGGAGACACAUGUCAGACGCCCCCACUCACAGGCUAUCAACUCUGAGCCGAAAGGCAGCUUCGUUGCUCCGCUGGGCCAGCAGCUUCUGGGCCGUGUGGUGUGUUAGGGGACCGGUGGGUCCCACGGCCACGGGCUCACCGCCCCCACCUCCUUCGCCGUAAGCGGGUCCCCAGCACCAGCACGAGGUUGCGCAGAGCCUCCUGUCGACAGGUCAGACGCCACACAGAGAGGACAUGUCCGUGAAUGGCUGUCCCCUACUGCCUCCACUCGCAUCCCCCGUGACGACCCUACAUGCAGGGGAGGCCAGGCAGUGUGGUCUGCCUGGGCGUCCGUUCCCACCUAUCCGAAGCUCUGUUUCCGAAUGAUGGUGGGAUGGAUAUUGGAGGACAGUGGCAGCGACUCCCAUCUUACAGAGCGCGCGAUCAGCUCCCAGCACUGAAAGCGACGAGUAAAGGUGGGCGGUGUGGGGGGGUGUCAGCCUCCGCCCCCGCAGUGUGGACGUGUGGCAUCCAUUGCUGCUGGAGGGAGGCUUCGGGGCCGAGUCAUGUCACUGCACACCCGUUUCACUGCUCAGGCUGUGCCGUCUGCCUCCUUUCUCUCCCACUCACCGGAGUGCCCCAAGGUCCAAGGCUUACCCUGGAUGAUGCCUUCGACCAAAAGUAAAGGGACCCUGGCCUAGCAGUGCUUUGAACGUUGCUUCCUGCCCACAAAAAGGCCAGCGGGGAGAGGCUGUUGUGAUGUUAUAGCGGCUGAGCCACUCAGGGAUGUAGGGGACACUGGGGUGCACGUCCAGGACCCAGGUACCCCGUCCCCACUGCCCUAGUGCUGGUGCUGCCCACGCCCAGCUGAGUGCUCCCUGGGGACCAUCCGUCCUCUGUCCAAGGAAGCUGCCUCACCCCUAGGACAUCCCACACGCGGUGACUGGCCGGUGUGAAGAGACAAAGACCUAGCCCUCUGUCCUCAGCUCAAGCCAUCCCUGAAGGGCUGUCCCGGCUCCAGGAUCUCCGGGCAGGAUGGACCAGAUGAGGCCACUGUGCCUGCAGGUGGCUCAAUUUCUGCUCAUCCAGUCCUGCCCUGCGUCCCUCCCUCCCUCACCAAUGUGGCUCCCAAGUACAUCGUCAGCAUAGCACUGUCCGUACUAGUCAGGGUUUUCCAGGGAAACAGAACCAAGGCGGGGGUGGGGCGUAAAUGGAAAUCUAUUAUGAGGGAUUGGCUUGCACAAUUAUGGAGGCCGAGAAGCACCACGACCCAGCGCCUGCAAGCCGGUCGGCCAGGAGCCCCAGUGGUGUAAUCCCAGUGUGCGGGCAGAGAAAGGGGACAUCAAUCCCAGCCCAGGCGGUGAGGCAGGAAAAAGCCUAACUCCUCCUCCUCCCUCCUCCCUCUUGUGCUCUUUUCAGGCCAUCCGAAGUUGCCUGAGGCCCACCCACGCUGGGAAGAGGGUCUGCUUUGCUGGGCCUGCCAAUUCAAAUUCAAAUUUCAUCUGGAAACACCAUCACAGAUAUACCCAGAAUGAUACUCAAUCUGGGCACCCCACGGCCAGUCAAACUGACACAAAAAAUUACCCAUCCCCCAGUAAGCCUCCUACAGGAGCAAUUCCUCAAAUCCACCAUCUCGGAUGAGACAAAUGUCCCCAAGCUCAGGCUUGCUGCCUCAUGGUCACAAGAUGGUGUCACAACUCCAUCUAUCAUGUGCUCCUGCCAGUGUCCCAGCCAGAAAGGGAGGGAAGG